RNAcentral lists this non-coding RNA (29 nucleotides) under Homo sapiens (human). Lineage: Eukaryota; Metazoa; Chordata; Mammalia; Primates; Hominidae. The record is from RNAcentral.
UCCUUCUCAGUGGUGUGGAUGAUAAUAAU